Long non-coding RNA from Daktulosphaira vitifoliae (grape phylloxera), 3192 nucleotides. RefSeq lists it as uncharacterized. Lineage: Eukaryota; Metazoa; Arthropoda; Insecta; Hemiptera; Phylloxeridae. The transcript has 4 exons. The record is from RefSeq and is a predicted model, not a curated record.
UUCAUGAUUUGUGAUUUUGGAAAAUUAAAUUGUCGGUAUAGUUAACUGUGUAUCCUAGCAAAUAAUGUGUAAUAUCUUGGAUAUGGUCUUAAAAUGCUCUGUCUCAAAUACAUGUACCUGUAACAAACUAGAAAUAAUAGAUAUCUGCCGACGAGAAAUGUCUUGGGAUAAGUAUAGUAAUACUGAUGCGAAGGAAAUUCAAUUUCAAUUGGAUUGUGUGAUAGUAAGGUCGAAAAAAUAUUAUUAUUUGUAGUGUACGAGAUACAGUCUGUGUAAAUCUUAGAACAAACGUCGACAGUCGGUAGCAUAGUUUUGAUGGGGUGAAGAAACCAUAAAGGUAAAUUGUUUUUUUUUUUUCGUGAACCAUCUCUUGUCGCGAAAAAGUUUGUUUUGCUGUCAGAACAAUACGGUCGGAAAAUGUUGAUUAUACAAAGUGGUUCAAUCACUAUCUGUGACUCUUGUACGAACUAUAGUGUGAAAUUAGUCAAAAUAUGACUGAUAGUGUGCUGAAGUUUCGACGAUUAUGCAUAAUUUAUUUUUUUUCUAUAUUACAUCCACUGUACUAUGUUUUUGUUACAGAUUAUACCAUACUCAUUCAAUUUAAAACUAAUUUAGAGCUGACUGUUUCUGGAACUCGAGGGUUUGUACAGUCUAUACGCGACGACGAGGCCUGUUAAUUAAAACUAUAGACGCCACAACAGUACUCCGGACCUAAGAUAGUUAAUGCAUCGCAGCCGUGGAUCGACAGGAGGUAGGCAUGACGAGAAAACACUUCCAGCACAACAAACCGACGGGGAUGGAACAGAUGUUUUGAAACCGGGUCGUAACUACUUGGGCGUUACACGGAAAUUAUGAGUAAAAAAAUUCCGAGAACAAAACUAUUUGUACGGGAAAAUGGUACAUUGUACGAUACAACCGUCAAAACAGCCCUAAACGGACGGACCGGCCGGCCAGGAGAUUUCAAUAUUUCCAUUCGGAAUAAUUUAUAACAGUUUGGGUGUUGUGUGGCAUUACGCAUAUGUUUUACUUGGUAUCCAUUGCGGACGGCUUAAUACUAUCAGCGUCGAUCGUAACGACGGAGUUGCUAUGUCGGUCGUUAAGUAACCAUCCCCGUAUAAAUCUAAAACACCCAACAUUAUGAGUCAUAUAAAUAUAACCCACGAGCAUAUAAACGUGUCGUGUAAUCAUCGACUGUGCGGCUGUACGCGAGAUAACCCUAAAACAAAACCGGAUUUCCUUAGGUUUUCAUACACGUACUAUUUGGGUUAUAUAUUAUUGUUGAUGUGCGCCCUCACAUAAGACUGCAGUGAUGUCGAGGGUGAAAACAAUAUCAUAAUUUCGAACAGGUCGUUGUUAUCUUAUUCUGUAAACUUUAUUCUUUCUUUUUCACGUUAAGGUUUUUUACGUCUUCUCGAAAAUUAUGAUAAUCUUCAGUGAUACAUUUUUAUGCUAACAAUAUUUACUCGCGUAAGACACAGUAAUAAAAAUGAAUUGUCUCCCACGAUAAAACAAACAAACCCCAUUUGCAUUAUUAAAAUCAAAAUCCGAUACGAGUGCAGAGAAAUCCCACUCGUAUUUCUAUUUUGUUGAAUUUGUCAUUGAAUUUUGUGUAUUUUUAUUGUGACAGUCAAGUGAGUUAAGUUUUUCAGGUUUAAUUAUGUUAUGUUAAAAUGAAUAGCAAUUGAUGUAAUCGGCAUUCGUGAAAUUAAGUCAAUUUUAAAGUAAACGUGCUGAGAACACACCGAAAAAAAUAAAUAUAAAAUUUAUGCUUUUGAUAAACGAUUUAUUGUCGCGUUGCUUAUUACAAAUAGUAAGUUAUCUGUUUAUUCUUUGAAUAAUAAUUACCACGGAUGUAAAAAAAAAAGUAUGUAUAAUUAUUGGAGAAUAAAAUAUUUACGAUUGAGUAAGUUAUAUACUUAGUAAAACAAAAAACACCAGACGAAAAUACUUUUCUGUGUAUUCCAAGUAAGGUUCAUGAACUUAGAAUUCUCAGACGGUUUGUAUAAAAACUUGUUUUACAUAAUAUAUUUGUUUUGGCUUAGGUAUUAUUACUACACAUAAAUACUUUUUUUUCUUAUGAAUGUGCAUUCUAUUUUAGAUGCACGUCUCUUGUAAAUGUAUUCGUUUUGCAAUGAGAUUACAAAAGGAUUCUAUUGCGGUAUUGGACUUGAAGGUCGAAGAUUUGCAUUAAUUCUUCUUCAAUUUUCCCUCGUUAAAAUUAAUUCUACGCCCGAGGAAAUAUGAUUUACAAAUCAGUAAAUAUCAAUGACUUAAAGUACAGCUAUACCGAGAUUGAGUUGGUGGUGUCAAUAGUGUACUACAAUGAACAAUAGUGUGACGACAGAUAUUGAAAUUUGAUCUCACGAUGGAUUGUUUCAAAUAUUCGAAUCAAUACUUAGUGAUGAUGAAUCGAUAGUAAAUGAUGAUGAUUUUCCAGAUAAUGAAGAAUAUUUUGUUGUUUAAGAUGAUUGAAAUUCCCAUUCAGAAGUUUCUAUUCAUUAUAUGUAUGAAAAUGUAAUUGUCAUAAAUGUUCCUAGUGAUCUGACAACUUGUAAUGAACAAAAUAAUAAGAAUGUUGAUGGUGAUAAUUUACAAUUUUUACAUACUAAUGAGGAUAUAGCUAUGUAAAGUAAUUAUACGAGAGUAAUGUUCAACAAAUCAUAUAUGACCCAGAUAAUGUUCCAUUAGCUGACAGACUGCAGAAUAUAAAUGGCAUAUGGGAAGAACAUGGUUUGAUGCCUGAUCACCUGCCUUUUCAAGGAAAAGGUGGCCCUAAUUUACCACUGGGAACUGAAGAUCCUUUGAUUUUUUUUAAGUAUCUUUUUAAUGAUGAAUUGGUUGAUGGCCUAGUUUUUAAUACUGAUUUUUAUGCUCAUCAAAAACAAAAGCCAUUUGAACCUGUGACUUCACAAUCCAUGCAAAUAUUUUUAGCAAUAAAUAUUCUAAUGCAACAAUUGCAGCACUAAGGCUAAUCCACAUAGGACAAAAUAGGAAUGUACCUCAUGCAAUGCCGGUUUGUGUUUAACUCCACACAAAAAUUGUUUCAAAAUAUAUCACAAUAAGUUAUAAUAUUAUAAUAACUUUCAAAUAUUUUAUAAUAAUUUUUAAUAAUAUGUUGUUAUGCAGAACCUACAUGGUGGUUUAAUAGUUAAACCACCACUUUUUCAAAAAACUGUAAUAAUAAAUUUUUUU